UUUGACGGCACGUUAUGUUUGGUCAUAAGGGGAAUUAGAUGUUAGCUGUAG
RNAcentral lists this transfer RNA (51 nucleotides) under Paragonimus westermani. RNAcentral's name for it is "tRNA-Gln". Lineage: Eukaryota; Metazoa; Platyhelminthes; Trematoda; Plagiorchiida; Troglotrematidae. The record is from RNAcentral.